UAGGAAUAUGCCUUAAAGUGGGGGACAACUUGGGGAAACUCAAGCUAAUACCGCAUAAUUUCUUCGGAAAAAGCUAGGGACCUUCGGGCCUGGCGCUUUAAGAUUAGCCUGCGUACGAUUAGCUAGUUGGUAGGGUAAAGGCCUACCAAGGCGACGACGGGUAGCUGGU
This 169-nucleotide ribosomal RNA is filed under the name uncultured bacterium. RNAcentral describes it as "partial 16S ribosomal RNA". It matches the Rfam family "Bacterial small subunit ribosomal RNA", at positions 118 to 291 of the family's 1533-position model. The record is from RNAcentral.